This is a long non-coding RNA of Syngnathoides biaculeatus (alligator pipefish), 1258 nucleotides long. RefSeq lists it as uncharacterized. The record is from RefSeq and is a predicted model, not a curated record. Lineage: Eukaryota; Metazoa; Chordata; Actinopteri; Syngnathiformes; Syngnathidae. The transcript has 3 exons.
ACCUAUAUAAGGACGAGAACGACGGACAACGGGCCUUCUUCUAACAACUUCACCGCAACUUCAUCGGACGAACAUUUGCUUGUUUGGGAACAUUCGUUCAACCUUGGUGGCCAAGGUGGGCAGAGAAAGAGCAGCACAUUGACCUUUCAAUUAAUGUGGUCCAGCAGCUCAGGCCGAGUGUCGCGGCGAUGUCUCCGGGAGCGAGAGCGGGGCUGCGUGGAGGGCGGAUCGAGGAACAGCUUGUCGUCCUGGAGCGUGUUGACCAGGCAGGGAACGUCGCCCACAAAGGCUUGCGCCUCCUUGGCUGUCAUGGCUUUGGAGAAACCUCGACCCUGCAGGACAGUGGAAGGAGGGGAACAAUUAACUGGUAACGGAACCUUUUGUGGAUGACAACCUUCCAACCUUUUACAAGGUUGGACAACAUCUUUGUGCAUGUCGCAAGUACUUACUGCUGGAAAAGCUCAAGUAUUCUUAUACAACACAAACCCUUUUAAUGUGGAUGAUAAAAAGGACGAUUUUAGACUUCCUUACCACUGUAGUUUGAAUAUUGGGCAGAACUGAAGACAAUGACAAAAAAUGUUUUUUUUUUUUCGCAGGGGGGGUUGAUAUAUAGAAAACGUGAAAUACAUCUGGCAACACCUGUAGAUGAGGAGGAUUAAUCGAUCUGAUGAUGUAAUAGUUGUAGAAAGAAAAGAUGUGAGCGCUAUGCUUGGAAGGGUUAAACCCAAAUGGGUCAUAUGCAAGAGGAUUACUGGCAUAUUUUCUGCAAAGUUUCAAAGCACCCCUUUAACUGUAUUUCCUCGCAGGUGAGUGGCAGAUUGAAUUAGAUGGUUGAGCUUAUUAAGUACAAGGACAUUUCUUGCAAAUGUCUUACAUUAGUCUAAUGGCCUCGCCACAUUGGAUCAGAAAGUUCUCUUUUAGGCUUCAUACACAACCGUGUGUGCAUAUAGAGAGGCCUUAGCGUACACUAAUGGAUUCUGGAGGAUGAAGAACAGAUGACUAAUUUGCAUUAUGUAUGUUAACACAAAGAAAGGCUUAUAAAGAGACAUUAUGACCCCCACCCACACACCCUGACACCGAGAUAGCGCCAGUCAAGAAGCUGCUACUGCCGCAAUAAUGAGUCAAGAACAUAUUCGUAGGCAGACUUAUUCAGAUCAUUAUAAUAUCGGGUUAGGCUAUGCCCUUUCUAAGUCUUGUUUAUUUUGAUUUACAGUUAGCAGUUUUACAAAAGCAAUAAAAACUUACCGUCAAAGUUACA